CGGGACGUUCGACGAUUGGUGGUUCUGCUGCCAGUGGAGGAGCAGGCAGGAGGCCAAAAAGGGGAUCUCUGACCACAAGGUCACUGUGCGAUCUUUCCAGCGGUUCUCGUGGGAAGAUCGAGUGGGAGGUGUUGAGUUGAGUUGCAGACCGAGCCCCUCUCUGGCUGGGAGGUAGGUUUAGGUGAGUCUCUCAGGCUGGAGGCGGAGAUUUUAAUGCACCAGGUGGAGAGGAUCUGGCGAUCAGGGGAGUUGGAGUCACUCACUCACAGGACAGUGAAGAGCGAGCAGUGUGAGAAAGCGAGAUUGAAGAGCUUGGGAAGAGGAGACUGCAGGAAUAAAGCUUGCAAAGCCUGAAGAAGGAGCCGGUGAGCUUUUGAGUGGCUGACUACUUAUGGCAUGAAAUGCAAAAUCAAAUGUCCAUAUAUUUAAUGUGUUUUAAAAAGUAUUCAAGCUAAAAGUAAUUGGAUAAAACUUGAAUUGUGUGUAUUCAGCGGAGUUAAAAUCUGGUGAAGUUUAAAGGUUAAAAUCAUCAUUAAAUAGUGUUUUAAAAAUGUAUUUAAUUUAGUAUUGGGAUACUUUAAAUUUGGGUUGUCUUUCUACUUAUUUUGGGGUUAAUUUCCAGUAGAUUAUAAAUUAAGUAUGUGAUGUUGGGUAUGUGAAUUGAUUAUGGUUUCUU
Gasterosteus aculeatus aculeatus (three-spined stickleback) is the source of this 676-nucleotide long non-coding RNA. The record is from Ensembl. Lineage: Eukaryota; Metazoa; Chordata; Actinopteri; Perciformes; Gasterosteidae.